UGGGGGAUAUUGCACAAUGGGCGAAAGCCUGAUGCAGCGACGCCGCGUGGGGGAUGAAGGCCUUCGGGUUGUAAACUUCUUUUGCUCUGAACAAGGCGCACCAUGGGGUGUGUUGAGUGUAGGGGUUGAUUAGCGCCGGCUAACUACGUGCCAGCAGCCGCGGUAAUACGUAGGGCGCGAGCGUUGUCCGGAAUUAUUGGGCGUAAAGGGCUUGUAGGUGGCUGGUUGCGUCUGUCGUGAAAGCUCAUGGCUUAACUGUGGGUUUGAGGGGGGUACGGGAUGGCUUGAGUGCAGUAGGGGAGGGUGGAAUUCCUGGUGUAGCGGUGGAAUGCGCAGAUAUCAGGAGGAAUACCGGUGGAGAAGGAGGGUCUCUGGGCUGUUACUGACACUGAGGAGCGAAAGCAUGGGGAGCGAACAGG
RNAcentral lists this ribosomal RNA (419 nucleotides) under bacterium. Its description in RNAcentral is "partial 16S ribosomal RNA". It matches the Rfam family "Bacterial small subunit ribosomal RNA", at positions 355 to 776 of the family's 1533-position model. The record is from RNAcentral.